Protopterus annectens (West African lungfish) is the source of this 486-nucleotide long non-coding RNA. RefSeq lists it as uncharacterized. The transcript is spliced from 4 exons. The record is from RefSeq and is a predicted model, not a curated record. Lineage: Eukaryota; Metazoa; Chordata; Ceratodontiformes; Protopteridae.
GGAAUAGUUCUCAACAUCUUCCAGUUAAUUACAAGCAAAGUAACGCUCUGAAUAAGGCGCUGCCCUCUGCGUAUUUCCUUCCCCACCGUGGGACUCUAACUAAGUCAAUUUUCCCGCCCUGAAAGCGGCAAGUACCUAUUGUACUACUCACCAAGAAAAUCUACGGGAAUAGUUCUCAACAUCUUCCAGUUAAUUACAAGCAAAGUAACGCUCUGAAUAAGGCGCUGCCCUCUGCGUAUUUCCUUCCCCACCGUGGGACUCUAACUAAGUCAAUUUUCCCGCCCUGAAAGCGGCAAGUACCUAUUGUACUACUCACCAAGAAAAUCUACGGGAAUAGUUCUCAACAUCUUCCAGUUAAUUACAAGCAAAGUAACGCUCUGAAUAAGGCGCUGCCCUCUGCGUAUUUCCUUCCCCACCGUGGGACUCUAACUAAGUCAAUUUUCCCGCCCUGAAAGCGGCAAGUACCUAUUGUACUACUCACCAAGA